GAUGAACGCUGGCGGCGUGCCUAAUACAUGCAAGUCGAGCGAACGGACGAGAAGCUUGCUUUUCUGAUGUUAGCGGCGGACGGGUGAGUAACACGUGGAUAACCUACCUAUAAGACUGGGAUAACUUCGGGAAACCGGAGCUAAUACCGGAUAAUAUUUUGAACCGCAUGGUUCAAAAGUGAAAGACGGUCUUGCUGUCACUUAUAGAUGGAUCCGCGCUGCAUUAGCUAGUUGGUAAGGUAACGGCUUACCAAGGCAACGAUGCAUAGCCGACCUGAGAGGGUGAUCGGCCACACUGGAACUGAGACACGGUCCAGACUCCUACGGGAGGCAGCAGUAGGGAAUCUUCCGCAAAGGGCGAAAGCCUGACGGAGCAACGCCGCGUGAGUGAUGAAGGUCUUCGGAUCGUAAAACUCUGUUAUUAGGGAAGAACAUAUGUGUAAGUAACUGUGCACAUCUUGACGGUACCUAAUCAGAAAGCCUCGGCUAACUACGUG
This 497-nucleotide ribosomal RNA is filed under the name uncultured bacterium. RNAcentral describes it as "partial 16S ribosomal RNA". It matches the Rfam family "Bacterial small subunit ribosomal RNA", at positions 28 to 507 of the family's 1533-position model. The record is from RNAcentral.